UACGUAGGGUGCGAGCGUUAAUCGGAAUUACUGGGCGUAAAGCGUGCGCAGGCGGUUUUGUAAGCCAGGUGUGAAAUCCCCGGGCUCAACCCGGGAACUGCGUCCGAUACUGGAAGGCUUGAAUCCGGGAGAGGGAUGCGGAAUUCCAGGUGUAGCGGUGAAAUGCGUAGAUAUCUGGAGGAACACCGGUGGCGAAGGCGGCAUCCUGGACCGGCAUUGACGCUGAGGCGCGAAAGCCAGGGGAGCAAACGGG
This 253-nucleotide ribosomal RNA is filed under the name uncultured bacterium. RNAcentral describes it as "partial 16S ribosomal RNA". It matches the Rfam family "Bacterial small subunit ribosomal RNA", at positions 524 to 776 of the family's 1533-position model. The record is from RNAcentral.